Molecule: ribosomal RNA, 1108 nt
Filed under: uncultured marine bacterium
Lineage: Bacteria
Description: bacterial SSU rRNA
Rfam family: Bacterial small subunit ribosomal RNA
Source: RNAcentral
GAGAGAAGCUUGCUUUUCUGCUGACGACCGGCGCACGGGUGCGUAACGCGUAUACAAUCUGCCUUAUACAGAGGGAUAGCCUUUAGAAAUGAAGAUUAAUACCUUAUAGUCUAUAUAUAUAGCAUUAUAUAAAUAGUAAAGCUUCGGUGGUAUAAGAUGAGUAUGCGUCCUAUUAGUUAGUUGGUGAGGUAACGGCUUACCAAGACAACGAUAGGUAGGGGCCCUGAGAGGGGGAUCCCCCACACUGGUACUGAGACACGGACCAGACUCCUACGGGAGGCAGCAGUGAGGAAUAUUGGACAAUGGAGGCAACUCUGAUCCAGCCAUGCCGCGUGCAGGAAGACGGCCCUAUGGGUUGUAAACUGCUUUUAUAUAGGAAGAAACCUUUUCACGUGUGAGAAGCUGACGGUACUAUAAGAAUAAGGACCGGCUAACUCCGUGCCAGCAGCCGCGGUAAUACGGAGGGUCCGAGCGUUAUCCGGAAUCAUUGGGUUUAAAGGGUCCGUAGGCGGGAAUCUAAGUCAGUGGUGAAAUCUUGCAGCUCAACUGUAAAAUUGCCAUUGAUACUGGAUUUCUUGAAUUAGUGUGAAGUGAUUAGAAUGUGUAGUGUAGCGGUGAAAUGCAUAGAUAUUACACAGAAUACCAAUUGCGAAGGCAGAUCACUAACACUAUAUUGACGCUGAGGGACGAAAGCGUGGGGAGCGAACAGGAUUAGAUACCCUGGUAGUCCACGCCGUAAACGAUGGAUACUAGCUGUUCGGUCUUCGGACUGAGUGGCUAAGCGAAAGUGAUAAGUAUCCCACCUGGGGAGUACGUUCGCAAGAAUGAAACUCAAAGGAAUUGACGGGGGCCCGCACAAGCGGUGGAGCAUGUGGUUUAAUUCGAUGAUACGCGAGGAACCUUACCAGGGCUUAAAUGUAGUCUGACAGCUUUAGAGAUAGAGUUUUCUUCGGACAGAUUACAAGGUGCUGCAUGGUUGUCGUCAGCUCGUGCCGUGAGGUGUCAGGUUAAGUCCUAUAACGAGCGCAACCCCUGUUGUUAGUUGCCAGCGAGUAAUGUCGGGAACUCUAACAAGACUGCCGGUGCAAACCGUGAGGAAAGGUGGGGA